Molecule: ribosomal RNA, 165 nt
Filed under: uncultured bacterium
Lineage: Bacteria
Description: partial 16S ribosomal RNA
Rfam family: Bacterial small subunit ribosomal RNA
Source: RNAcentral
CAGCAGCCGCGGUAAACGUAGGAGCCAAGCGUUAUCCGAAUUCACUGGGCGUAAAGCGCGUGCAGGCGGCUCGGUAAGUUGGAUGUGAAAGCUCCCGGCUCAACUGGGAGAGGACGUUCAAUACUGUCGGGCUAGAGGGUGGCAGAGGAAGGUGGAAUUCCCGGG